AUGAGCAGAUAGUCGAAUCUGGAAAAGCAACUGAUGAUGAAGUAUGUAACUACUAAUAGGUUCUUUUUUUCUCUUAAUAAUGCCAUUUUUUCUCUCUUGCUGA
This 103-nucleotide small nucleolar RNA is filed under the name Trichophyton rubrum BMU01672. RNAcentral's name for it is "CD-box snoRNA". Lineage: Eukaryota; Fungi; Ascomycota; Eurotiomycetes; Onygenales; Arthrodermataceae. The record is from RNAcentral.